Molecule: ribosomal RNA, 172 nt
Filed under: uncultured bacterium
Lineage: Bacteria
Description: partial 16S ribosomal RNA
Rfam family: Bacterial small subunit ribosomal RNA
Source: RNAcentral
ACUCCUACGGGAGGCAGCAGUGGGGAAUCUUAGACAAUGGGCGCAAGCCUGAUCCAGCCAUGCCGCGUGAGUGAUGAAGGCCUUAGGGUUGUAAAGCUCUUUUGUCCGGGAAGAUAAUGACUGUACCGGAAGAAUAAGCCCCGGCUAACUUCGUGCCAGCAGCCGCGGUAAU